This 496-nucleotide ribosomal RNA is filed under the name uncultured bacterium. Its description in RNAcentral is "partial 16S ribosomal RNA". It matches the Rfam family "Bacterial small subunit ribosomal RNA", at positions 28 to 506 of the family's 1533-position model. The record is from RNAcentral.
GAUGAACGCUGGCGGCGUGCCUAAUACAUGCAAGUCGAGCGAACAGACGAGGAGCUUGCUCCUCUGACGUUAGCGGCGGACGGGUGAGUAACACGUGGAUAACCUACCUAUAAGACUGGGAUAACUUCGGGAAACCGGAGCUAAUACCGGAUAAUAUAUUGAACCGCAUGGUUCAAUAGUGAAAGACGGUUUUGCUGUCACUUAUAGAUGGAUCCGCGCCGCAUUAGCUAGUUGGUAAGGUAACGGCUUACCAAGGCAACGAUGCGUAGCCGACCUGAGAGGGUGAUCGGCCACACUGGAACUGAGACACGGUCCAGACCCCUACGGGAGGCAGCAGUAGAGCAUCUUCCGCAAGGGGCGAAAGCCUGACGGAGAAACGCCGCGUGAGUGAUGAAGGUCUUCGGAUCGUAAAACUCUGUUAUUAGGGAAGAACAAAUGUGUAAGUAACUAUGAAAGUAUGGACGGUACCUAAGCAGAAAGCCACGGCUAACUACGU